RNAcentral lists this unclassified non-coding RNA (350 nucleotides) under soil metagenome. Its description in RNAcentral is "partial contains 5.8S ribosomal RNA, internal transcribed spacer 2, and large subunit ribosomal RNA". The stretch from base 1 to 120 matches the Rfam family "5.8S ribosomal RNA", at positions 35 to 154 of the family's 154-position model. The record is from RNAcentral.
GAUGAAGAACGUAGCGAAAUGCGAUAAGUAAUGUGAAUUGCAGAAUUCAGUGAAUCAUCGAAUCUUUGAACGCACAUUGCGCCCCCUGGUAUUCCGGGGGGCAUGCCUGUCCGAGCGUCAUUGCUGCCCUCAAGCACGGCUUGUGUGUUGGGCCCCCGUCCCCGGUUCUCCCCGGGGACGGGCCCGAAAGGCAGCGGCGGCACCGCGUCCGAUCCUCGAGCGUAUGGGGCUUUGUCACCCGCUCUGUAGGCCCGGCCGGCGCCAGCCGACACCCCAACUUUAUUUUCUAAGGUUGACCUCGGAUCAGGUAGGGAUACCCGCUGAACUUAAGCAUAUCAAUAAGCGGAGGA